This 288-nucleotide unclassified non-coding RNA is filed under the name Homo sapiens (human). RNAcentral's name for it is "alpha-ketoglutarate dehydrogenase subunit 4 (ENSG00000278461.4)". Lineage: Eukaryota; Metazoa; Chordata; Mammalia; Primates; Hominidae. The record is from RNAcentral.
GCGUUUCCGCAUCUUGGGCGGUAGGGACGGUGCUGACUAUGGCGACGGCGUCGGGGAGUAAAGGCGGUGGCAGAGGCAGAGCGGUGACCGCGCCUCUGCGGAGGGCCAGUGACGGCGCCCGCGGGUGUGUGUGAGGAUGGGACUUUGAGCCUGUUGGACCGGGCAGUGAGGUGGGUCCGGCGCCGAGGGUUCGAGCCUUGCGGCAACCGUGCAGCAUCUUGGCAGUCAAACCACACACUCCAUUAAUAAGGUUUCCUGACAGAAGAGACAAUCCUAAACCCAAUGUAU